This 413-nucleotide ribosomal RNA is filed under the name uncultured microorganism. Its description in RNAcentral is "bacterial SSU rRNA". It matches the Rfam family "Archaeal small subunit ribosomal RNA", at positions 330 to 745 of the family's 1478-position model. The record is from RNAcentral.
GUGCACCAGGCGCGAAACCUCCGCAAUGCGGGAAACCGUGACGGGGUCACCCCGAGUGCCACCCGAUGAGGGUGGCUUUUCCCCGGUCUAAAAAGCCGGGGGCAAUAAGCGGGGGCAAGUCUGGUGUCAGCCGCCGCGGUAAUACCAGCCCCGCGAGUGGUCGGGACGUUUAUUGGGCCUAAAGCGUCCGUAGCCGGCUCGGUAAGUCCCUCCUUAAAUCCACGGGCUCAACCCGUGGGCUGGGAGGGAUACUGCCGGGCUAGGGGGCGGGAGAGGCCGAGGGUACUCCCGGGGUAGGGGCGAAAUCCGUUAAUCCCGGGAGGACCACCAGUGGCGAAGGCGCUCGGCUGGAACGCGCCCGACGGUGAGGGACGAAAGCUGGGGGAGCAAAGGGGAUUAGAUACCCGCGUAGU